This 428-nucleotide ribosomal RNA is filed under the name uncultured Amphinema. RNAcentral describes it as "eukaryotic LSU rRNA". The stretch from base 65 to 219 matches the Rfam family "5.8S ribosomal RNA". The record is from RNAcentral. Lineage: Eukaryota; Fungi; Basidiomycota; Agaricomycetes; Atheliales; Atheliaceae.
UAUGUAUCAUAUACUCUGAAUGUGUCAUAGAAUGUUCAUGUUGCCUUAAAACGCAAUCAAAUACAACUUUCAACAACGGAUCUCUUGGCUCUCGCAUCGAUGAAGAACGCAGCGAAAUGCGAUAAGUAAUGUGAAUUGCAGAUUUUCAGUGAAUCAUCGAAUCUUUGAACGCACCUUGCGCUCCUUGGUAUUCCGAGGAGCAUGCCUGUUUGAGUGUCAUUAAAUUCUCAACCCCACCGAUUUGCUUCGGGGGGAUUGGACUUGGAGCGUGCUGGCUAAUGUCGGCUCCUCUUUAAAUGCAUCAGUGGAGAGAAACUUGCCCCAGUGUGAUAAUCCUGUUGCGCUGUGGUGGGUGAAAGUCUGCUUCCAACCGUCCCUCCGGGGACAUAUGUCAUCUUAUUUUGACCUCAAAUCAGGUAGGACUACCC